UACGUAGGUGGCAAGCGUUAUCCGGAUUUAUUGGGCGUAAAGCGAGCGCAGGCGGUCUUUUAAGUCUGAUGUGAAAGCCUUCGGCUUAACCGGAGUAGUGCAUUGGAAACUGGGAGACUUGAGUGCAGAAGAGGAGGGUGGAACUCCAUGUGUAGCGGUGAAAUGCGUAGAUAUAUGGAAGAACACCAGUGGCGAAAGCGGCUCUCUGGUCUGUAACUGACGCUGAGGUUCGAAAGCGUGGGUAGCAAACAGG
This 253-nucleotide ribosomal RNA is filed under the name uncultured bacterium. RNAcentral's name for it is "partial 16S ribosomal RNA". It matches the Rfam family "Bacterial small subunit ribosomal RNA", at positions 524 to 776 of the family's 1533-position model. The record is from RNAcentral.